This 75-nucleotide transfer RNA is filed under the name Pseudomonadales bacterium. Its description in RNAcentral is "tRNA-Cys". It matches the Rfam family "tRNA". From Rfam's summary of the family: Transfer RNA (tRNA) molecules are approximately 80 nucleotides in length. Their secondary structure includes four short double-helical elements and three loops (D, anti-codon, and T loops). RNAcentral also lists the same sequence under 1 other name. The record is from RNAcentral. Lineage: Bacteria; Pseudomonadati; Pseudomonadota; Gammaproteobacteria; Pseudomonadales.
CUCGCGUGGUCAGGGCGGUUUAUGUCCGGGACUGCAAAUCCCGGUAGGCUGGUUCGAUUCCAGUACGCGAGUCCA